AUUGAACGCUGGCGGCAGGCCUAACACAUGCAAGUCGAACGGUAACAGGAAGAAGCUUGCUUCUUUGCUGACGAGUGGCGGACGGGUGAGUAAUGUCUGGGAAACUGCCUGAUGGAGGGGGAUAACUACUGGAAACGGUAGCUAAUACCGCAUAACGUCGCAAGCCCAAAGAGGGGGACCUUCGGGCCUCUUGCCAUCGGAUGUGCCCAGAUGGGAUUAGCUAGUAGGUGGGGUAACGACUCACCUAGGCGACGAUCCGUAGCUGGUCUGAGAGGAUGACCGGCCACACUGGAACUGAGACACGGUCCAGACUCCUACGGGAGGCAGCAGUGGGGAAUAUUGCGCAAUGGGCGCAAGCCUGAUGCAGCCAUGCCGCGUGUAUGAAGAAGGCCUUCGGGUUGUAAAGUACUUUCAGCGGGGAGGAAGGGAGUAAAGUUAAUACCUGUGCUCAUUGACGUUACCCGGAGAAGAAGCACCGGCUAACUACGUG
Molecule: ribosomal RNA, 490 nt
Filed under: uncultured bacterium
Lineage: Bacteria
Description: partial 16S ribosomal RNA
Rfam family: Bacterial small subunit ribosomal RNA
Source: RNAcentral